CUGCAGCAGCGGCUACCUGGCCACGCAGCAGCGGUGGCGGGAUGGUGGCAGCAAGGGGGCGGCGAGCUCCUCUGUCCGCUCUAGGACUCCACCGCCAAGGGGGCGAGCUCCUCCGUCCGCUCUAGGACUCCACAGCGAAGGGGGCACGCCCUUGCAUCUGGGAGGUGCUCGAGCUCGUCAAAGGUGCCCCUCCCCUUCCCCCACUGGAUCCGAUUUGAUGGUGAAUUGCAGGUCCAAGUCAUUGUCUUUGAUCAAGAUUACAGAUUUAUGAUAAUUAUACUGAAUCUUGAAGUGUACUGUCAACUGAAUGUAUUGGCAGAAUUCAUAUUUAGACUGAAUGUUUACUACUCCUGUCAAUAGCAUACUGAAUAUUUAGAUAGUUUAAUCUUGAAGUAUAGACUGAAUGUUCAGACAGAGUUCUUAUUCAUGUCUAAUUGUAUUGACAGAGUUCAAUGUACUCCUGUCAAUAGAAUCAAAACUGAUUUAUUACCUUUCCAUAUGAACUUUACUGAAAAAUCAAUUAAAUUAGUCACCAUUCUGGAUUUUGACAGUACUCUACAAACUGCUUCAAAAUUAGUUCACACAAACAAGUGCAUUUUUCUAGACCUGCUUGUAAAUUAUUCCAGUUUGAAACUGAGAUAUGCCUGUACUGUCAUAAUUUCCAGUUUGUAUAAUUAGAGUAUUGAAGAUGUGUAUUUUCCAUUUAGAUAGGGGUGGUUUGCUCAACAACAAUCAGUAAGAUCUCAAUAAUACUCAUGCAACAACAAUCAGCAAGAUUGAGAUCUUCUUGCAAUCUUUGUUUACAGCAGCACAAAGAGAUUACUAGUGAAUUUUUACACACAAGCAUGAAUUUGUGUACUGUGACUAUCUACCUAGCUACUGUUCUAAAUCUCCUAUGUACUGCUUCUUCCUUCUCCAAGAUUAUGACAUGACAAGUGCUUAACAGUUCAAUUUAUCAAUAGCUCCGUCUUAGAAAUUUAAUUAGUGCAUUUGUAAAAUGGCAAAGAUUAUGACAUGACAAAUGCCUAACAUGUUCAGUAAACUACAGUGAACAUCUUUCUCCAAGUAAUUCAACUACAGAUAGAUUAGAGAUGGAUUAUUGAUGGAAUAUAAUUCAACUACAAAUAGUCUUGUACUCCAGAUGUACUAUUGGGUAGAGUACAUGUAAGGAGACAGAACUUCCGGAUGUACAGGUUAGCAAGUUUUUCUAGAAGUGUCACAGGGGCUAGAGCUCUCGAGAAAUACUCAUGUGAUCAUUUGGACUAGGUUAGAUCAUUUGCAAGAAGAGGAGUACACUACAGUAGCUCUCCUCUUCUUGCAAGUCCUACACUAAACUACUGAAACUGCUACAAGCAACCAAAUUGACAGAAAAUCUGACAGUAACAAGAAAGCACAUGAAAAUCUGAACCAGUAUGUGUGUGCAGUUAUAAACUCACUGACAGUAACAAGUUACUCCAUGACAUCAAGUUUAGAAAUUUAGUUAGUGCAUUUCUAAAAAUGGCCAACAUUAUGGCACAAAUAAUUAAGUAAGUUAGCACAAAUUGCAAAGUAAGUUAGCACGAAUUCAAUUUUAAUCCAAAUUACUCAAAUUAAUCCAAAUAUUUUAAAUUAAUUCAAAUAACUAAAAUUAAUCCAAAUCAAUUCAAAUAAUUCAAAUUCCAAAUAACCCAAAUUUCAAUAAAUUCCAACAAGGAGUUUAUAUACAAGGAUUAGACAAGGCAUACACAAGGGCAUGACAUAAGGGCAUCUUUGUCCCCUCUUGACACAAGAUUACACAAGACAUACACAAGGAGCACCUGACUACAUGACAUACGGGCCUCUUUGUCCCCUCUUGACUACAUUCUUUUCCUUUCUCUGGCCACUUCUUCCCUUCCCUUCCCUUUACUUUUCAUUAUUUUCCCUUCUUGUUGCUACUUCUUCCCUUCCUUUUACUUUUCUUUCUUUUCCCUUCUCUAGCUAAUUCUUUGCUUUCAUUUUUUUUCCUAUUGCAAUUUUCAUUUCUUCUAUAAUGGCCCUAAUAUCAACAACUACCUGACUGUCACAAUAUACACUGAUUAUUUCCAUUCCAGCAUUCUGAUAGCGAUCCUUGUGCAAGUGGGGCAACUUAUAUUGAUUUCCUCCUUUGUCUUUCAUAACUUCAAACAUAACUGCUUCUAAUGUGAUAAAGCUUCUGUGCAACUUGUCGGGAUCUUAGUUCUAGAAUUCCUCUUCCACACCAUGUACCAGUUCCUGGAUCUCUACUCCUAAUGUCUCAGUUGGUAGGUCGCGUUCCGGGUUUUAUUUUCGUUCCACCCCACCCAGUCUUUUUUGGUACUUCUUUGGUACUUCCUCCCACCUCCCUCCCAGCCGCGAAAAACCAAGAAAAACCCCGCGAUCGAGUCCCGCACCCGCCCAACCUCCCGUCCUGGAAGAAAACCUACGAAAAAAACCUACGAAAAAAAACCAGAACUCGCACGCACCGACGCACGAGCGAGACUGCCCUCUCGAUCCCCUCGACCUACGAUCUGUGACUGCAGACGCACCAGAUCGCCGCCGCGGACCUCGCAGGGAAGACGCGGACGAGAUCCCAAGCUGCUGCUCCUCCUCUCCCGGGAUGCAGCCGCUGCCGCCGAACCAAGGAGACGCCGGCGACCGUCGCCGCCGUCGUGGAUCUCCAGGACGCCGCCGCCUGCACCGCCACCACCGCGCCUCGGAUACAUCGCUGCGAGGCAGAUCCCUGGGAGCGGGAGGAGGUAGGGGUCAGCCGCGUCGACAGCGGCGAGGUGGAGCCCUGGGGCUGGGAGUGGGUAUGGGAGGAGGUGGGGGGCAGCUGCGAGCGCAACGGGGUGAGGGGCGUCGAUGAGAUGCUCCUGGUGCCUCCCUUCGAGUGGGAGGGGGAGAGGGGCGUCAGCGGCGAGCCGGACGGGGCGAGGGGCGUCGAUGAGAUGCCCCCGGCGCUUCCCUCCGGGCGGGAGGAGGAGAGGGGCGUCGACGACGAGGCGGGUGUCGGCGGCGAGAUGGGUGUCGGCGGCGAUGAGGAUUGCAUUGUUGUGCCGCUGCCACUUCCUACAGACUCCCUGACUCACAGUGCAAGACAUCCCAACUCGGGUCCAUCCGGGUAAACACCGCCGCCGCCCUUGGCAGGAUCCCUUUUGGCGGCUUCGAUCUAGGAAAAAGAGGAGCGGAAGGAGAGAAGUACUGGUCUAUGACUCGGGUCAUGGGGAUGGAUGGAUCUCUCGGUAAUGGUGGAUCCAGAGUUCCAGACUCAGUUCAUCUUAUAGGCUUAAUUCAUACUGUAUCAUUUUGAUGAAUACGUUGCUCCCCUAUUUUUUCUACAAUCAAGAUGAUUUUCCUCUGUGGGGUAUGCAUAUCAUCUUCUUUCGUUUUCGUUAGAACAUAUCAUAUUUUGUUUGACAGGCAGGUACAACGAUGGCAAUAUUUGUUUUCAUCAGAAGUAUAUUUUCAUGAGAUACAAUGGCAAUCAGGUUUGUGUUUCAUGAGCUUUGUUCAUAUCACUGCUUCUCCCUAAUCCGCCUUCACUCUAAUGCAUGGCCACCCAAAAUUGUCUUCUCCUCGGUUUGUAGGCGGCACAUGCAGAAGAGUUGUGGAAGGUUGAUUGAGAAGUCAUAAGGACUGGGUGAAGCAAAAUGCAAUCUCCAAGGUUAGGUUACCUCUCAAUGCCCGUGAUGAUAUGAGUGCAACUAAACUAAUAUUUGUUUGUUGUGAUCUAUGGUUCCCACCUGCCAUGCUCAUAUAUUUCUGUUUCCACAUGAUAUGUCUUCUAUAUUAAAUUAUAGUCUUUGAUACAAUAAGUUAUUCCUUCAAAUUUAACAGUCUAGGAAGAAUCUGAAUAUGGCAACGAUUUCUUUCUUUCCUAAGCACUCCUCUCCUAUUAAAACCCAGCAUAUGCUGAACCACUGCUGCUUUAAUGUCUAAAUCUUUUGGUUUAUAGUUUAUGGCAAACCAAAUUAUGAAUCAAGUGUUCAUCUCUGAAGUUCAUAACAGUGGUCGGUUUUUAGUGUGUCUAAAGGAAAUGCACCAAGCUUUUGUACUGAAAGAUUAUCCUGACAUGGGAUUUUUUAUUCUUGAAUGAACACGGUAGCCUUUAUUAUUACUUUUAGAGAAGAUGUACACAGCUAGGAUACAGAACUACAUUCUUACUAUGAUUGGCUUAAUGCAACUAAGAUCAAGGCUCCACGAGGCUAUGUUGAUUUGUUAAAUUCCUUUCAGUUUCAGGUUUCAAAAUGAGAAAUUGGAGCAUUGAGACCUUUGAACUGAAACCUAAAUAAAGGUAUACAUAUUUAUGUUGGUCUAAAACCACCAUGUUUUAUCUGUAGAAAAUAGAAAUCGCCGUUCGGUUUCAUUUACAAAUUAAAUUAAACUAUAGACAUAGUCCACGACAUCGGGACAAAUAGAGUAACUAAUUAUAUGUAUGUUUUUUCCAGCAAAGAACUUAUUAUAAAACGGGACACCAGAAAAUCCAGUGGGAAAUUGAGGGGCUCCCCUCUUCGUAAAAAAGUUACUUCACGGCAUUGCCUAAUGUACAGAGAAAUCACGGAGUCAAAAAUUGCUUUCCCGCCCAUGACAUAAUUUAUACAGCAUCACAGAGUGCCUUUUUAUGCAUAAUCGACUUCCCUCGGAAAAGCAUUUGUAAGAUAGCUAAUCAACAUGUCAUUUGUUCUUAAUUCAGAAUUGUGCAUGCAUCCAACAGAGAAAGGUGCGU
RNAcentral lists this long non-coding RNA (4702 nucleotides) under Triticum aestivum (bread wheat). RNAcentral's name for it is "long non-coding RNA (TAES_LNC011524)". The record is from RNAcentral. Lineage: Eukaryota; Viridiplantae; Streptophyta; Magnoliopsida; Poales; Poaceae.